Molecule: ribosomal RNA, 253 nt
Filed under: uncultured bacterium
Lineage: Bacteria
Description: partial 16S ribosomal RNA
Rfam family: Bacterial small subunit ribosomal RNA
Source: RNAcentral
UACGUAGGGUGCAAGCGUUAAUCGGAAUUACUGGGCGUAAAGCGUGCGCAGGCGGUUUUGUAAGUCUGUCGUGAAAUCCCCGGGCUCAACCUGGGAAUUGCGAUGGAGACUGCAAGGCUAGAAUCUGGCAGAGGGGGGUAGAAUUCCACGUGUAGCAGUGAAAUGCGUAAAGAUGUGGAGGAACACCGAUGGCGAAGGCAGCCCCCUGGGUCAAGAUUGACGCUCAUGCACGAAAGCGUGGGGAGCAAACAGG